GAUGAACGCUGGCGGCGUGCCUAAUACAUGCAAGUCGAGCGAACGGACGAGAAGCUUGCUUCUCUGAUGUUAGCGGCGGACGGGUGAGUAACACGUGGAUAACCUACCUAUAAGACUGGGAUAACUUCGGGAAACCGGAGCUAAUACCGGAUAAUAUUUUGAACCGCAUGGUUCAAAAGUGAAAGACGGUCUUUCUGUCACUUAUAGAUGGAUCCGCGCUGCAUUAGCUAGUUGGUAAGGUAACGGCUUACCAAGGCAACGACGCAUAGCCGACCUGAGAGGGUGAUCGGACACACUGGAACUGAGACACGGUCCAGACUCCUACGGGAGGCAGCAGUAGGGAAUCUUCCGCAAUGGGCGAAAGCCUGACGGAGCAACGCCGCGUGAGUGAUGAAGGUCUUCGGAUCGUAAAACUCUGUUAUUAGGGAAGAACAUAUGUGUAAGUAACUGUGCACAUCUUGACGGUACCUAAUCAGAAAGCCACGGCUAACUACGUG
Molecule: ribosomal RNA, 497 nt
Filed under: uncultured bacterium
Lineage: Bacteria
Description: partial 16S ribosomal RNA
Rfam family: Bacterial small subunit ribosomal RNA
Source: RNAcentral